RNAcentral lists this ribosomal RNA (505 nucleotides) under uncultured bacterium. Its description in RNAcentral is "partial 16S ribosomal RNA". It matches the Rfam family "Bacterial small subunit ribosomal RNA", at positions 28 to 507 of the family's 1533-position model. The record is from RNAcentral.
GACGAACGCUGGCGGCGUGCCUAAUACAUGCAAGUAGAACGCACAGUUUAUACCGUAGCUUGCUACACCAUAGACUGUGAGUUGCGAACGGGUGAGUAACGCGUAGGUAACCUGCCUGGUAGCGGGGGAUAACUAUUGGAAACGAUAGCUAAUACCGCAUAAUAUUAAUUAUUGCAUGAUAAUUAAUUGAAAGGUGCAAUUGCACCACUACCAGAUGGCCCUGCGUUGUAUUAGCUAGUAGGUGAGGUAACGGCUCACCUAGGCGACGAUACAUAGCCGACCUGAGAGGGUGAUCGGCCACACUGGGACUGAGACACGGCCCAGACUCCUACGGGAGGCAGCAGUAGGGAAUCUUCGGCAAUGGACGAAAGUCUGACCGAGCAACGCCGCGUGAGUGAAGAAGGUUUUCGGAUCGUAAAGCUCUGUUGUAAGAGAAGAACGGGUGUGAGAGUGGAAAGUUCACACUGUGACGGUAUCUUACCAGAAAGGGACGGCUAACUACGUG